Molecule: ribosomal RNA, 253 nt
Filed under: uncultured bacterium
Lineage: Bacteria
Also listed under: 1 other name
Description: partial 16S ribosomal RNA
Rfam family: Bacterial small subunit ribosomal RNA
Source: RNAcentral
UACAGAGGGUGCAAGCGUUAUUCGGAAUCACUGGGCGUAAAGAGCGCGUAGGCGGCCCGCUAAGUCAGAUGUGAAAUCCCUGGACUCAAUCCAGGAGCUGCAUCUGAUACUGGUGGGCUAGAGUGUAGGAGAGGAAGGCGGAAUUCCAGGUGUAGAGGUGAAAUUCGUAGAUAUCUGGAGGAACAACAGAGGCGAAGGCGGCCUUCUGGACUACUACUGACGCUGAGGCGCGAAAGCGUGGGGAGCAAACAGG